AAGAAAAGCAUUCUGUCUCAGGGGUCAGUGGACCCUGAGUUUAUGCUGAAGGGACUCUUGGCAGCCCGGAUCAGAGUGGACUUCCAGUUUUAU
Thalassophryne amazonica is the source of this 93-nucleotide long non-coding RNA. RefSeq lists it as uncharacterized. Lineage: Eukaryota; Metazoa; Chordata; Actinopteri; Batrachoidiformes; Batrachoididae. The transcript is spliced from 3 exons. The record is from RefSeq and is a predicted model, not a curated record.